UGGGGAAUAUUGCGCAAUGGGGGGAAACCCUGACGCAGCAACGCCGCGUGAUUGAAGAAGGUCUUCGGAUUGUAAAAUCUUUUAUCAAGGACGAAGAAGUGACGGUACUUGAUGAAUAAGCUCCGGCUAACUACGUGCCAGCAGCCGCGGUAAUACGUAGGGAGCAAGCGUUAUCCGGAUUUACUGGGUGUAAAGGGCGAGUAGGCGGAUUGGCAAGUUGGGAGUGAAAUGUCGGGGCUUAACCCCGGAACUGCUUCCAAAACUGUUGAUCUUGAGUGAUGGAGAGGCAGGCGGAAUUCCCAGUGUAGCGGUAAAAUCCGUAGAGAUCACCAAGAAUACCCAUUGCGAAGGCGAUCUGCCAGAACUCAACUGACGCUAAUGCGUGAAAGCGUGGGGAGCAAACAGGAUUAGAUACCCUGGUA
This 422-nucleotide ribosomal RNA is filed under the name uncultured Butyricicoccus sp. RNAcentral's name for it is "bacterial SSU rRNA". It matches the Rfam family "Bacterial small subunit ribosomal RNA", at positions 355 to 792 of the family's 1533-position model. Lineage: Bacteria; Bacillati; Bacillota; Clostridia; Eubacteriales; Butyricicoccaceae. The record is from RNAcentral.